This 288-nucleotide unclassified non-coding RNA is filed under the name uncultured fungus. Its description in RNAcentral is "partial contains small subunit ribosomal RNA, internal transcribed spacer 1, and 5.8S ribosomal RNA". The stretch from base 1 to 73 matches the Rfam family "Eukaryotic small subunit ribosomal RNA", at positions 1759 to 1831 of the family's 1831-position model. Lineage: Eukaryota; Fungi. The record is from RNAcentral.
CCAAACUUGGUCAUUUAGAGGAAGUAAAAGUCGUAACAAGGUCUCCGUUGGUGAACCAGCGGAGGGAUCAUUACUGAGUUUACAACUCCCAACCCAUUGUGAAUCUUACCAUUUGUUGCUUCGGCGGGAUCGUCCCGGUGCCUCUGCUGCCCGGAUCCAGGCGCCCGCCGGAGGCCCCAAACUGCUGUUUCCUCACAGAGUAUUGUAUAAUCUGAGUGGCGAAAGCAAAAACGAAUCAAAACUUUCAACAACGGAUCUCUUGGUUCUGGCAUCGAUGAAGAACGCAGC